AGUGAACGCUGGCGGCAGGCCUAACACAUGCAAGUCGAACGGCAGCACCGUGCUUGCUUGCGCUUACAGGGGCCGAGGGGCGGACGGUUCCUGAAUACAUGGCAGGCUGCGGCUUCUUGCGUGCUAAAACCGGCGAUAUUACGGCAAACCCCCUUACGGCGUACGUGGGGGAGCUGGGGAUCUUACGACAUCAUGCGAUUGUAGGUGGCAUUAGCUAGUUGGUGGGGUAAAGGCCUACCAAGGCGACGAUCCGUAACUGGUCUGAGAGGAUGAUCAGUCACACUGGAACUGAGACACGGUCCAGACUCCUACGGGAGGCAGCAGUGGGGAAUAUUGGACAAAGGGCGAAAGCCUGAUCCAGCCAUGCCGCGUGUGUGAAGAAGGUCUUCGGGUUGUAAAGCCCUUUUGGUGGGAAGGAAGGGCAGCAAGUUAAUACCUCGCUGUUUUGACGGUACCAACAGAAUAAGCACCGGCUAACUUCGUG
RNAcentral lists this ribosomal RNA (484 nucleotides) under uncultured bacterium. RNAcentral describes it as "partial 16S ribosomal RNA". It matches the Rfam family "Bacterial small subunit ribosomal RNA", at positions 29 to 507 of the family's 1533-position model. The record is from RNAcentral.